This 1281-nucleotide ribosomal RNA is filed under the name Staphylococcus aureus. RNAcentral's name for it is "partial 23S ribosomal RNA". It matches the Rfam family "Bacterial large subunit ribosomal RNA", at positions 328 to 1611 of the family's 2925-position model. Lineage: Bacteria; Bacillati; Bacillota; Bacilli; Caryophanales; Staphylococcaceae. The record is from RNAcentral.
AUUAGACGAAUCAUCUGGAAAGAUGAAUCAAAGAAGGUAAUAAUCCUGUAGUCGAAAAUGUUGUCUCUCUUGAGUGGAUCCUGAGUACGACGGAGCACGUGAAAUUCCGUCGGAAUCUGGGAGGACCAUCUCCUAAGGCUAAAUACUCUCUAGUGACCGAUAGUGAACCAGUACCGUGAGGGAAAGGUGAAAAGCACCCCGGAAGGGGAGUGAAAUAGAACCUGAAACCGUGUGCUUACAAGUAGUCAGAGCCCGUUAAUGGGUGAUGGCGUGCCUUUUGUAGAAUGAACCGGCGAGUUACGAUUUGAUGCAAGGUUAAGCAGUAAAUGUGGAGCCGUAGCGAAAGCGAGUCUGAAUAGGGCGUUUAGUAUUUGGUCGUAGACCCGAAACCAGGUGAUCUACCCUUGGUCAGGUUGAAGUUCAGGUAACACUGAAUGGAGGACCGAACCGACUUACGUUGAAAAGUGAGCGGAUGAACUGAGGGUAGCGGAGAAAUUCCAAUCGAACCUGGAGAUAGCUGGUUCUCUCCGAAAUAGCUUUAGGGCUAGCCUCAAGUGAUGAUUAUUGGAGGUAGAGCACUGUUUGGACGAGGGGCCCCUCUCGGGUUACCGAAUUCAGACAAACUCCGAAUGCCAAUUAAUUUAACUUGGGAGUCAGAACAUGGGUGAUAAGGUCCGUGUUCGAAAGGGAAACAGCCCAGACCACCAGCUAAGGUCCCAAAAUAUAUGUUAAGUGGAAAAGGAUGUGGCGUUGCCCAGACAACUAGGAUGUUGGCUUAGAAGCAGCCAUCAUUUAAAGAGUGCGUAAUAGCUCACUAGUCGAGUGACACUGCGCCGAAAAUGUACCGGGGCUAAACAUAUUACCGAAGCUGUGGAUUGUCCUUUGGACAAUGGUAGGAGAGCGUUCUAAGGGCGUUGAAGCAUGAUCGUAAGGACAUGUGGAGCGCUUAGAAGUGAGAAUGCCGGUGUGAGUAGCGAAAGACGGGUGAGAAUCCCGUCCACCGAUUGACUAAGGUUUCCAGAGGAAGGCUCGUCCGCUCUGGGUUAGUCGGGUCCUAAGCUGAGGCCGACAGGCGUAGGCGAUGGAUAACAGGUUGAUAUUCCUGUACCACCUAUAAUCGUUUUAAUCGAUGGGGGGACGCAGUAGGAUAGGCGAAGCGUGCGAUUGGAUUGCACGUCUAAGCAGUAAGGCUGAGUAUUAGGCAAAUCCGGUACUCGUUAAGGCUGAGCUGUGAUGGGGAGAAGACAUUGAGUCUUCGAGUCGUUGAUUUCACACUGCCGA